UUAGGGCAAGUCUGGUGCCAGCAGCCGCGGUAAUUCCAGCUCCAAUAGCGUAUAUUAAAGUUGUUGCAGUUAAAAAGCUCGUAGUUGAAUUUCGGGAUCAAAUUGUCGGUCGUGCCUCGGUACGUACUGGCGUUAUUGGUUCCUCCCUUCUGAAGAACCGCGAUGUCAUUAAUUUGGUGUCGCGGGGAAUCAGGACUGUUACUUUGAAAAAAUUAGAGUGUUUAAAGCAGGCUCGCGCUUGAAUACAUUAGCAUGGAAUAAUGAAAUAGGACGUUUGAUUCUAUUUUGUUGGUUUCUAGGAUCGACGUAAUGAUUAAUAGGGAUAGUUGGGGGCAUUAGUAUUCAAUUGUCAGAGGUGAAAUUCUUGGAUUUAUUGAAGACUAACUACUGCGAAAGCAUUUGCCAAGGAUGUUUUCAUUAAUCAAGAACGAAAGUUAGGGGAUCGAAGACGAUCAGAUACCGUCGUAGUCUUAACCAUAAACUAUGCCGACUAGGGAUCGGAUGAUGUUAAUUUUUUAAUGACUCAUUCGGCGCCUUACGGGAAAC
RNAcentral lists this ribosomal RNA (546 nucleotides) under uncultured Glomus. RNAcentral describes it as "SSU rRNA". It matches the Rfam family "Eukaryotic small subunit ribosomal RNA", at positions 548 to 1098 of the family's 1831-position model. The record is from RNAcentral. Lineage: Eukaryota; Fungi; Glomeromycota; Glomeromycetes; Glomerales; Glomeraceae.